RNAcentral lists this ribosomal RNA (250 nucleotides) under uncultured bacterium. Its description in RNAcentral is "partial 16S ribosomal RNA". It matches the Rfam family "Bacterial small subunit ribosomal RNA", at positions 355 to 602 of the family's 1533-position model. The record is from RNAcentral.
UGAGGAAUAUUGGUCAAUGGAGGCAACUCUGAACCAGCCAUGCCGCGUGCAGGAAGAAGGUUCUAUGGAUCGUAAACUGCUUUUGUACAGGAAGAAAUUACCCCUCGUGAGGGAGCUUGACAGUACUGUAAGAAUAAGGAUCGGCUAACUCCGUGCCAGCAGCCGCGGUAAUACGGAGGAUCCAAGCGUUAUCCGGAAUCAUUGGGUUUAAAGGGUUCGUAGGCGGAUUAGUAAGUCAGGGGUGAAAGUU